ACCCGGUUGGCCGAGUGGUCUCUAAGGCGUGUGACUUAAGUUUCUUCUUAAAUAUCUCAUAUCCGAAAGGAUGCGUGGGUUCGAAUCCCUCACCGGGUA
Non-coding RNA from Phialemonium atrogriseum, 99 nucleotides. The record is from the annotation of a RefSeq genome assembly. Lineage: Eukaryota; Fungi; Ascomycota; Sordariomycetes; Cephalothecales; Cephalothecaceae.